GUUAGGAAUAUUGGACAAUGGGCGCAAGCCUGAUCCAGCCAUGCCGCGUGAACGAUGAAGGCCUUCGGGUUGUAAAGUUCUUUAGCCGAUGAUUAUAAUGACUGUAGUCGGAAAAUAAGCCCCGGCUAACUUCGUGCCAGCAGCCGCGGUAAUACGAAGGGGGCGAGCGUUAUUCGGAAUCACUGGGCGUAAAGCGUGCGUAGGCGGUUUUGUAAGUUAGGAGUGAAAGCCCAGGGCUCAACCUUGGAAUUGCUCUUAAAACUGCAAGGCUCGAAUCUCGGAGAGGAUAGCGGAAUUACCAGUGUAGCAGUGAAAUGCGUAGAUAUUGGAAGGAACACCAGUGGCGUAAGCGGCUAUCUGGACGAGUAUUGACGCUGAGGCACGAAAGCGUGGGGAUCAAACAGGAUUAGAAACCCGUGUAGUCC
Molecule: ribosomal RNA, 425 nt
Filed under: uncultured bacterium
Lineage: Bacteria
Description: partial 16S ribosomal RNA
Rfam family: Bacterial small subunit ribosomal RNA
Source: RNAcentral